RNAcentral lists this ribosomal RNA (461 nucleotides) under uncultured bacterium. RNAcentral's name for it is "partial 16S ribosomal RNA". It matches the Rfam family "Bacterial small subunit ribosomal RNA", at positions 29 to 507 of the family's 1533-position model. The record is from RNAcentral.
AUAAACGCUGGCGGCGUGCUUAACACAUGCAAGUCGAACGCAGUUUUUCCUUCGGGAGAAACUUAGUGGCGGACGGGUGAGUAACGCGUGGGUAACCUGCCCUGUACAGGGGGACAACAGCUGUAAACGGCUGCUAAUACCGCAUAAGCCCUUAGCACUGCAUGGUGCAUAGGGAAAAGGAGCAAUCCGGUACAGGAUGGACCCGCGUCUGAUUAGCCAGUUGGCAGGGUAACGGCCUACCAAAGCGACGAUCAGUAGCCGAUCUGAGAGGAUGUACGGCCACAUUGGGACUGAGACACGGCCCAGACUCCUACGGGAGGCAGCAGUGGGGAAUAUUGCACAAUGGAGGAAACUCUGAUGCAGCGACGCCGCGUGAGUGAAGAAGUAUUUCGGUAUGUAAAGCUCUAUCAGCAGGGAAGAAAAUGACGGUACCUGACGAAGAAGCACCGGCUAAAUACGUG